CACGCCCUAAACGAUGUACACUAGUUGUUGUGAGGCUCGACCUUGCAGUAAUGCAGUUAACACAUUAAGUGUACCGCCUGGGGAGUACGGUCGCAAGAUUAAAACUCAAAGGAAUUGACGGGGACCCGCACAAGCGGUGGAUGAUGUGGUUUAAUUCGAUGCAACGCGAAAAACCUUACCCACCUUUGACAUGUACGGAAUCCUUUAGAGAUAGAGGAGUGCUCGAAAGAGAGCCGUAACACAGGUGC
This 248-nucleotide ribosomal RNA is filed under the name uncultured bacterium. RNAcentral's name for it is "partial 16S ribosomal RNA". It matches the Rfam family "Bacterial small subunit ribosomal RNA", at positions 796 to 1041 of the family's 1533-position model. The record is from RNAcentral.